UACGGGGGGAGCAAGCGUUGUUCGGAUUUACUGGGCGUAAAGGGCGCGUAGGCGGCGUGACAAGUCACUUGUGAAAUCUCCGGGCUUAACCCGGAGCGGCCAAGUGAUACUGUCGUGCUAGAGUGCGGAAGGGGCUACUGGAAUUCUCGGUGUAGCGGUGAAAUGCGUAGAUAUCGAGAGGAACACCUGCGGCGAAGGCGGGUAGCUGGGCCGACACUGACGCUGAGGCGCGAAAGUGUGGGGAUCAAACAGG
RNAcentral lists this ribosomal RNA (253 nucleotides) under uncultured bacterium. Its description in RNAcentral is "partial 16S ribosomal RNA". It matches the Rfam family "Bacterial small subunit ribosomal RNA", at positions 524 to 776 of the family's 1533-position model. The record is from RNAcentral.